Molecule: ribosomal RNA, 1965 nt
Filed under: human gut metagenome
Description: bacterial LSU rRNA
Rfam family: Bacterial large subunit ribosomal RNA
Source: RNAcentral
AAAAGCAAAUAAGGGCGUAUGGCGGAUGCCUAGGCUCACGGAGGCGAUGAAGGACGUGAUAAGCUGCGAUAAGCCGCGGUUAGGUGCAAAUGACCCUUGACCCGCGGAUUUCCGAAUGGGACAACCCGGCCGCCUUACGGCGGUCAUCAUGACAGAGUCAUGAGGCGAACGCGGGGAACUGAAACAUCUUAGUACCCGCAGGAAGAGAAAAUAAGUCAAUGAUUCCCCCAGUAGUGGCGAGCGACCGGGGAAGAGCCCAAACCGGGUGUGUCGAGGCACAUCCGGGGUUGUAGGACCGCGCUGUUGUACGAGCAUGAGCGAGCGUGACCGUCUGGAAAGUCGGGCCGUAGCGGGUGAGAGCCCCCUUCGCGAAGUUCAUGCCGGCAUAGCGGUAUCCUGAGUAACGCGGGACACGAGGAAUCCUGCGCGAAUCCGCCGGGACCAUCCGGCAAGGCUAAAUACUCCCGUGAGACCGAUAGUGGACCAGUACCGUGAGGGAAAGGUGAAAAGAACUCCGACGAGGAGAGUGAAAUAGCCCCUGAAACCAUACGCCUACAAGCGGUCGGAGCAUGCGUAGCAUGUGACGGCGUGCCUUUUGCAUAAUGAACCUACGAGUUGCCGUCACGGGCAAGGUUAAGCGCCUAAGGCGCCGAGCCGCAGUGAAAGCGAGCCUGAAUAGGGCGCAGAGUCCGUGGAGGCAGACGCGAAACCGAGUGAUCUACACUUGUCCAGGAUGAAGUCCCGGUAACACGGGAUGGAGGUCCGCACCGAUAAGCGUUGAAAAGCUUCCGGAUGAGGUGAGUGUAGGAGUGAAAGGCCAAUCAAACUCGGAGAUAGCUCGUACUCCCCGAAAUGCAUUUAGGUGCAGCGUUCCGCGAUAGCGUCAAGAGGUAGAGCGACCGAUAGGAUGCGAGGGCUUCACCGCCUAUCAAGUCCUGACGAACUCCGAAUGCUUGACGCCUGCAGCGGGGCAGCAAGGGGGCGGGUGCUAAGGUCCGUCCCCGAGAGGAGAAGAAUCCAGACCGCCGUCUAAGGUCCCGGAAUUCUGCCUGAGUUAGUCUAACGAAGUGAGGUCCCUGAGACAGCCAGGAUGUUGGCUUGGAAGCAGCCAUUCAUUCAAAGAGUGCGUAACAGCUCACUGGUCGAGGGUCCUUGCGUGGAUAAUAAUCGGGUAUAAGGCAGAUACCGAAGGCGCGGGAUAGUAAUAAUAAAAGUAUCGGUAGGGGAGCAUUCCAUGUGCGUCGAAUGUUCAUGGUGACGUGAGCUGGAGCGCAUGGAAAAGCAAAUGUAGGUAUAAGUAACGACAAGGAGGGCGAGAACCCCUCCCGCCGCAAGACCAAGGUUUCCCGGGCAAUGCCAGUCAUCCCGGGGUCAGUCGGGUCCUAAGUCUAAGCCGAACGGCGAGGGCGAUGGCAGAAACGGUUAAUAUUCCGUUACUGCCUGUGCGAGCGAUGUGGAGACGGAGAAGUGGAACCGCCGCGGGGUGACGGAAGUCCCCGUUGAAGGGCGUAGGUUAUGAGGUGUGCAGGCAAAUCCGCAUUCCGAGCCGACCCUGACAGUACUCCGGCGCCUCCGGGCAACGGAGAUAGUGCGGGUAAUCAUGCUCCCGAGAAAAUCCGCUAAGCAAUCGCACAGGCACCCGUACCGCAAACGGACACACGUAGUCGGGUAGAAUAUACUAAGGCGUUGAGAGACUCAUGGUUAAGGAACUAGGCAAACUGACCCCGUAACUUCGGGAAAAGGGGUCCUCACGUAGAGUGAGGCGCAGAGAAUAGGUCCAGGCAACUGUUUAACAAAAACACAGGGCUGUGCGAACUCGAAAGAUGAAGUAUACAGCCUGACACCUGCCCGGUGCCGGAAGGUUAAGAGGAGAGCUCAGGAGCAAUCCGAAGGUUUGAAUUGAAGCCCCGGUAAACGGCGGCCGUAACUAUAACGGUCCUAAGGUAGCGAAAUUCCUUGUCGGGU